Sapajus apella (tufted capuchin) is the source of this 2149-nucleotide long non-coding RNA. RefSeq lists it as uncharacterized. Lineage: Eukaryota; Metazoa; Chordata; Mammalia; Primates; Cebidae. The record is from RefSeq and is a predicted model, not a curated record. The transcript has 2 exons.
GGAGACAGCAUCUUGCUCUGUUGCUCCGGUUCGAGUGCAGUGAUGUCAUCAUAGUUCAUUGCAGCCUCAAAUACCUUGCUUGGCUCAUGCAAUCCUCCUGCCCCAACCUCCCAAGUGGCUGGGACUAUGGACACAUGCCCCCAUUCAUGGCUAAUUUUUUUUUUUAGUAUACACGGGGUCUCACCACGUUAGCUAGGUUGCUCCCAAACUUCUGACCUCAACUGAUCCACCUGCCUCAGCUCCCCAAAGUGCUGGGAUUACAGGCAUGAGCCACCAAGCCCGGCCACUGCAGUAUUAUUUCUUGGGGUUUUCUAAAACUGAUUUGAAUCUCUGCAUUUUACAUUCCCUUAGAAUUCAGAGUGUUAGAAAAGACUUGUUUUCAUCACGUUGGCUCAUUUGGGAUAAUUUCAAGUCUGUGUUUUUAUCUGUCUCUGGAAGUUUCCAAAGCUGCAGAUAGUCUCCAGUAGCUCUUUUAUUCCAUUUUAACUUCUGCCAUCUAGUUCCAUGUUACAAAAAAUAUGUUUGGGGGUGUUUAGGCCACAGCCACCCCUAUGUGUGUCCAAAAGGUCUGAAAUGGGCCCUUCUGGCCCCACAGCCUGUCAGCAGGGGCAGUGGCCUCUAGGUCAGGCCUAGAGCUAGGAAGAGGGACAGAGGUCAGUGCACAAGACCACCUGGCCCCAUGCUCAUGCCCACAGCCCUUCUGCAGGGCGUCCUUGGGCUUGUUUUCAAGCCCAUGUGAUAGAGAUUUGGGAAUGUGUCACUUCUAUAAUACCCUAAAAAGGGGUUGGGGAGAGCAUACAGGACUGAGGGUGCAGCCCACGUGAGGCACACACCUGUGAGGCCAGACUGAGUGGACAGGACACACACAGGAGGCGCCACCCUCCUCAGCAGCAUGCUGCCAGCACCAGCAGGGGUCUUUAGGUGAGGACUGGCAUGACUAGAAUGCCUUCUUAGGAAAAUGAUCUGCAGCUGAGGCUGCUGCUGCACAGGGACUGGGAAGGGCAGGGGCACUCAGGGUGUCUGUGGCAGGGGCCCAAGGCUGCACCCAAGCCUGGAGCUUGGGUGACCUGAGGACCAGCAGGAAGGGCCCAUCUGGCAUCCAAGGGGCAUCCUCAAGGCACUGGAAACUCAGUUCUGGGGCUGGGUCACUAGGGGUGCCCUAAGGAGCCUGGGACUGAAGCCUCAGGACCCCACCCUGGCUGGUUUUUGUCUGAGCUGUGGCAGUUCCCAGCCUACAGAAGGGCAGGUGAAAGGGCCAGGGGUCCAGGGAUAGGAGAAACUGGCCCUUCCAUGCUCCACCUUAGACCACAGGGGCUCAAGCAUUCUCUAGGGACACUGUCCGGGAACAACUGUGGCAUCCAACAGGGUCGACUCCUGCCCUGCUCCCAGUUCAGCCUAAAGUCAGACCUGAGACGAGGUUUUGACUUCAUUGCUCUGCCUGGCCUGGCGCACGCCUCCCGUGAGCAAACAGCCCAGGGGCCAAAAUCCAGGCCUUGGAAAAGCUGGCAUCUUCUGUUCUCCAGGGCGGCCCAGCACAACAGCACAGCUCAAGUGACAGCACCCAGAACCCAGAGAGGGUAAGACUUCGCUGUGUAGGCGGGCCAGGCCAAGCCCCUCCACUGCUGUCACAGGUUUACAGUGGAGCAGAGUGGCAGGCUGGCUACAGGCAGCCCAGGCCACAGGUCAGGGGACCCACACCAGGCCACAGGAACAGGCUUGCUGCAGGUAUCAGAAAACCCAAGGUCACAGUGGUUUAAACAAGUUUAUUUCUCAGCCAUGUAGGCAGGAGGAGGCAGUCCAGGGCUGAGAAGCCUGAGGUCUCAGGGAGGCAGGCUCCAUCUGCUGCUCCGUCAUCUUGGUUCACGCCUCUCUCCUAGGGGUCACCUCUGUGUUCAAGGAAGUGCUCAAGUUCAGGCUGAGCUAGGGUGUGUACGGUGGCUUCCAACCAGCAUGUGACACCCCCAGGCAGCUCCCUGCUGUGCCUGGACCCACCUAUGACCUUGGCUUACUGCAUCUUGCUGGAUUCCCCAUCUUGGUCUUGCUGGCUGUUUUUAGAGACUGAGCCCAUAGUCUCCAGGACUCAGGUGACUUUGGCUACCCCUGGAGUCCUGUAUUAAAGAUCUGCAAUAGAAAUGUGUCCAGCAGGGAA